RNAcentral lists this non-coding RNA (45 nucleotides) under Schistosoma bovis. RNAcentral also lists the same sequence under 1 other name. The record is from RNAcentral. Lineage: Eukaryota; Metazoa; Platyhelminthes; Trematoda; Strigeidida; Schistosomatidae.
AUCCAGUUGACGAAUCCUAAAUAGGAUGAAACGCGCGUCCUGUAU